Molecule: ribosomal RNA, 207 nt
Filed under: uncultured bacterium
Lineage: Bacteria
Description: partial 16S ribosomal RNA
Rfam family: Bacterial small subunit ribosomal RNA
Source: RNAcentral
CGUGUAGGUGGUUCUGUAAGUAGGGCGUGAAAGCUCCCGGCUCAACUGGGAGAGGCCGUUCUAAACUACAGAACUAGAGGAUGGUAGAGGGAGGUGGAAUUCCAGGUGUAGCGGUGGAAUGCGCAGAUAUCUGGAGGAACACCAGUGGCGAAGGCGGCCUCCUGGACCAUUCCUGACACUCAGACGCGAAAGCUAGGGUAGCAAACG